Molecule: signal recognition particle RNA, 262 nt
Filed under: Armatimonadota bacterium
Lineage: Bacteria; Bacillati; Armatimonadota
Description: Armatimonadetes bacterium signal recognition particle sRNA large type
Rfam family: Bacterial large signal recognition particle RNA
About the family: The signal recognition particle (SRP) is a universally conserved ribonucleoprotein involved in the co-translational targeting of proteins to membranes.
Source: RNAcentral
UCGUGCUAGACGGGGAGCUAGCGGUGCCCUGUACCCGCAAUCCGCUCUAGCGGGGUCGAAUCCCUGCCCGAGGCCGUCCGCAUGGAGGCUGGGCGGCGCAAGUGGUGAUGAAGGUUGGGCCCUGCGCGACGCGUGCUCGUGAACCCCGUCAGAUCCGGAAGGAAGCAGCGGUAAGCGAGGACACGCGGGCGCCGCAGUCAUCCUGGCUGGAGCUAACUGCGCCGAUUCCGCUCUGUACGUCCGGUCGAAGGCAGGUGCACGA